Molecule: transfer RNA, 92 nt
Filed under: Cryptococcus amylolentus CBS 6039
Lineage: Eukaryota; Fungi; Basidiomycota; Tremellomycetes; Tremellales; Cryptococcaceae
Also listed under: 1 other name
Description: tRNA-His
Rfam family: tRNA
About the family: Transfer RNA (tRNA) molecules are approximately 80 nucleotides in length. Their secondary structure includes four short double-helical elements and three loops (D, anti-codon, and T loops).
Source: RNAcentral
GUCUCCAUAGUAUAGUGGUUCGUAUAUCUCAUUGUGGUCUUUCUACACAAUCAGUACCUGAGGAGACGCGUGUUCGAUUCACGCUGGGGACA